Pleuronectes platessa (European plaice) is the source of this 2149-nucleotide RNA transcript. RefSeq lists it as uncharacterized. The transcript is spliced from 7 exons. The record is from RefSeq and is a predicted model, not a curated record. Lineage: Eukaryota; Metazoa; Chordata; Actinopteri; Pleuronectiformes; Pleuronectidae.
GGUUGAGGAAGUCGUUCACACACACAGUCAGUCAUUUGUAUGAAGAGAGGAGGCAAGGACGCACGCAUGGCAUCCAGUAGCACCAGACGUUCUCUUUCAAACCGAGGGCCUUCCCUCCUGCUGCUGGCUCUGGCUUGGACUGUGACCUUUUCUCUCACAGAGAGUUCUGAACCCAGUCUCAGUGGGGAGGUUGGUGGAAAUGUGACCUUUCGAUGCCCGGUUAAUGAUCAAAGGACAAUUAAAAUGUUCUACUUUCAACGUGAUGAGGUGUUCGUCAACGGCUUCUAUGCAGUUAGAGAAAUCACUGCGCCCAAAUGGCCGAACACAAGACUGGAUCGCAAAAGUACACAUGUGGACAUGUACAAUUUGAACAUCUCGCACACUGGGACAUAUAAAUGCAUCAUUGAGUACAACAAUGAUCAGGAUGUCAGGAUAAGUUUCAUCCAACUCAAUGUCACAGCCUCCUACAGCAAACCCAAUGUGACACAGUCCUGUGAUGAUGCCCGUUGUUUGGUGACGUGUGCCUUCUACGGCGGGUACCCAGGCAAAAUGGUGGACUGGAAAUUACAUGGGUCUAGAAAUACCGACAAUCAGCUGUGGAACGUUGAGAACAACACUCAGGUGCACAGUCCAAGCACGAUGUUGGUCAACAGCAGCAGCAUUGUGUACUUCAGCUGCUCCCAUGGAGAGGUCAGGAAUCUCAGCUGCUCUGUGGGCAACGUUACCUCCGACUGGUUCCCAGUGUGUGAACGUAAACUCGAGGUUAAGCCUAACUCUCACAGUCCUAUCAAAAUAGCAACUGCUGUCUGUGCAGUGUUAAUCUUACUCUUACUGUUGGGAGCAGUUGUAUGGUUUUUUUAUCGACGCAAGAAAAGACAAACAGGUGAGGGACACUUUUAUGUUUUCCACUGCAGCUGUAUAAUUAUACGCAACAACUAAUAACAGUUUCUGUUCUGGUUUCUUGGACAAGAUCGGAUAAAGGAUGGAAAUAAGGACGAGUUAAAAGAACUGCAAGAAUAAGAGAAAGGACCAUGUUGAGUUGUUUUUGUUAUGGAUCGAAGGAAGAAGAAGUUUAUGGAGUCCAGACGUCAUCUCAGAAUCUGAUGCUGGGACUCUGUGUCACUGAAACGUCUACUGCCUACUAGUCAGUGGCUGAUGGGAACUGGACCAGGGAACUAUUCAUAAGUAGUGUCAUUUUACAGUGCGUCAUUCAGAGAAUAGCUCAGUUCCCAAAAAAAGACUUUUAUAAUGUGUAUGUGGUGAGAUUACUGAUAGUCUUCGAAGGAUACACUUCCCAGCAAUGUAAGCAGUUCAACUUAAAGCAGCAGAGAGUGUGUUUUAAAAUAAAAGGGCUUUUUGAAUGUUACACUGACAUCUUUUUAUUUAUUUUUUAUUUUCGGGUAUAUCAUUUUUGUUGCAGCACUUUAAAAUCCCUUUCCUUUCCACCCUUUUUAAAUAGGCUUUUUUAUUUAAUGUUGUCAGUAGAAACAUGUUACUCCUGCCAAUCUACUACCUGUUUAUUUUUUUAUGAGUAUCAAUUCCCUCAUUUGUUUGUACUCUUUAAUUUGCUUUGUCCAUAAGAAAUGAUUUAUAGCAAAACCUUGGAAACAAAUGUAUUAUUCCCAAGAAAGUGAAUACCAGAAAACUCUUUGCACAUUCAUUUAUUUUCUGCAUUUUCAGCUUUAAAGUUUUCUUUGCUACAGUAAAUGUUAAAUGGCAAGUAUUAAAGCUCUUUUCUAGUCUUGAUGACCACUCAAAGCGCAGCAGAUUCCAGUAUUAGAGAAUUCCUAUUUAAUGUGCAAUGUUUAAUAUAAAUGAAAUUACCGUAGCCCUCAUUAUUUAAAUAACGGUGUAUUUCCAAACUCAACUAUUUUACUUAGGCGAUUGUUUUCAUUUAAUAUUGAAGAAGGAAUUAAAGAUGUACUGUUUGCAAUAUUUAUUUUUCACAUAUGACAUGACCAUUUUUGUUAUUCCUCCUUCCUACAAAGUACUGACUGUUCUCAAAUGGUUGCUCUCAUUUCUCAAAUCUGUAUGAAACACUUUUCUCUGGUGGCUGUUGUAAUUUUGUUUUGUUUUGUUUUGCAUUAUAUUGAUAAAAUUGUAUAUACAUUGAAAUGCAAAAUAAAAAAAAUAAAAAUGUGUAACUUAA